RNAcentral lists this ribosomal RNA (490 nucleotides) under Pterelectroma physoides. Its description in RNAcentral is "partial 16S ribosomal RNA". It matches the Rfam family "Bacterial large subunit ribosomal RNA", at positions 1830 to 2597 of the family's 2925-position model. The record is from RNAcentral. Lineage: Eukaryota; Metazoa; Mollusca; Bivalvia; Pterioida; Pteriidae.
UGCUGGAUGAGAAGACGUUUGGUAAGCACUGCCCGGUGCCCGAUGGGGUAAACGGUGGCCGGAGGGUUUUAAUGUAGCGUAAUACCUCGCCCUUUAAUUGUGGGCUCGCAUGAAGUGUCCACGAGGGAGUUACUGUCUCUGCCCAAUGGUGACAAAUUGAAUUUUAGGUGAAAUUGCCUGGAUUGGGCUAAAAGACGAUAAGACCCCGUGCAGCUUCACACCAUUUGUUAAUGAUGGCGAAGAUGUUGUUUGGUUGGGGCAACAGGGGAAUAAACAAAACUUUCUUGGGACAUGGAUAGUUUUAAAAUUGGGAUCACUGGCGGGUCACGAUCUGGUUUGACAGAGAAGCGGAAAAGUUACGCCGGGGAUAACAGCGCAAUCUUCAAUUGGAGACCUUAUCUGAUUGUGGGCUUGCGACCUCGAUGUUGAAUCAGCGGGAACCUUUUGGCGGAGAGGCUUUUAGGUAGGACUGUUCGCCCUCUAAGACGCU